UACGUAGGGUGCAAGCGUUGUCCGGAAUUAUUGGGCGUAAAGAGCUCGUAGGCGGUCUGUCGCGUCGGAUGUGAAAAUCCAGGGCUUAACCCUGGGCCUGCAUUCGAUACGGGCAGACUAGAGUUCGGUAGGGGAGACUGGAAUUCCUGGUGUAGCGGUGAAAUGCGCAGAUAUCAGGAGGAACACCGGUGGCGAAGGCGGGUCUCUAGGCCGAUACUGACGCUGAGGAGCGAAAGCGUGGGGAGCGAACAGG
This 253-nucleotide ribosomal RNA is filed under the name uncultured bacterium. RNAcentral describes it as "partial 16S ribosomal RNA". It matches the Rfam family "Bacterial small subunit ribosomal RNA", at positions 524 to 776 of the family's 1533-position model. The record is from RNAcentral.